GCCGCGGGAUGUCAGGGGAGCGAAGCCGGGCAUAAAGAAGUGAAGACGGGGGAACGGCACCAUGUUGACUGCCAACUUGCGGAGAUCCGCAUUCAGUUGACCAGGGAACCGCAGACACGUCGUCACGCCGGACAUGGUGAGCGACACCAGGUGGUUAAGGUCUCCGUACGUGGGUGUGGAUAGUUUGAGCGUGCGGAAGCAGAUGUCAUAUAGGGCCUCGUUGUCGAUACAGUAGGUCUCGUCUGUGUUUUCUACUAACUGGUGGACUGAUAGUGUGGCGUUGUAAGGUUCUAC
This is a long non-coding RNA of Spodoptera frugiperda (fall armyworm), 294 nucleotides long. RefSeq lists it as uncharacterized. The transcript has 2 exons. NCBI's taxonomy places the organism in Eukaryota, Metazoa, Arthropoda, Insecta, Lepidoptera, Noctuidae. The record is from RefSeq and is a predicted model, not a curated record.